Molecule: ribosomal RNA, 2015 nt
Filed under: Acinetobacter baumannii 25307_1
Lineage: Bacteria; Pseudomonadati; Pseudomonadota; Gammaproteobacteria; Moraxellales; Moraxellaceae
Description: bacterial LSU rRNA
Rfam family: Bacterial large subunit ribosomal RNA
Source: RNAcentral
UCAAGUAAUUAAGUGCAUGUGGUGGAUGCCUUGGCAGUCAGAGGCGAUGAAAGACGUGAUAGCCUGCGAAAAGCUCCGGGGAGGCGGCAAAUAUCCUUUGAUCCGGAGAUGUCUGAAUGGGGGAACCCACCUACUUUAAGGUAGGUAUUGCAACAUGAAUACAUAGUGUUGCAAGGCGAACGAGGGGAAGUGAAACAUCUCAGUACCCUUAGGAAAAGAAAUCAAUUGAGAUUCCCUCAGUAGCGGCGAGCGAACGGGGAUCAGCCCAUUAAGUUAUGUGUGUUUUAGUGGAACGCUCUGGGAAGUGCGAACGUAGAGGGUGAUAUUCCCGUACACGAAAGGGCACACAUAAUGAUGACGAGUAGGGCGAGGCACGUGAAACCUUGUCUGAAUAUGGGGGGACCAUCCUCCAAGGCUAAAUACUCCUGACUGACCGAUAGUGAACCAGUACCGUGAGGGAAAGGCGAAAAGAACCCCUGUGAGGGGAGUGAAAUAGAUCCUGAAACCGCAUGCAUACAAGCAGUGGGAGCACCUUCGUGGUGUGACUGCGUACCUUUUGUAUAAUGGGUCAGCGACUUAUAUUCAGUAGCGAGGUUAACCGUAUAGGGGAGCCGUAGAGAAAUCGAGUCUUAAUAGGGCGUUUAGUUGCUGGGUAUAGACCCGAAACCAGGCGAUCUAUCCAUGAGCAGGUUGAAGGUUGGGUAACACUAACUGGAGGACCGAACCCACUGUCGUUGAAAAGCCAGGGGAUGACUUGUGGAUAGGGGUGAAAGGCUAAUCAAGCCUGGUGAUAGCUGGUUCUCCCCGAAAGCUAUUUAGGUAGCGCCUCGGACGAAUACCAUAGGGGGUAGAGCACUGUUUCGGCUAGGGGGUCAUCCCGACUUACCAAACCGAUGCAAACUCCGAAUACCUAUGAGUACUAUCCGGGAGACAGACUGCGGGUGCUAACGUCCGUAGUCAAGAGGAAAACAAUCCAGACCGCCAGCUAAGGCCCCAAAAUCAUAGUUAAGUGGGAAACGAUGUGGGAAGGCAUAGACAGCUAGGAGGUUGGCUUAGAAGCAGCCACCCUUUAAAGAAAGCGUAAUAGCUCACUAGUCGAGUCGGCCUGCGCGGAAGAUGUAACGGGGCUAAAACUAUGUGCCGAAGCUGCGGAUGUAUACUUUGUAUACGUGGUAGGGGAGCGUUCUGUAAGCCGAUGAAGGUGUGUUGAGAAGCAUGCUGGAGGUAUCAGAAGUGCGAAUGCUGACGUGAGUAACGACAAAACGGGUGAAAAACCCGUUCGCCGAAAGACCAAGGGUUCCAGUCCAACGUUAAUCGGGGCUGGGUGAGUCGACCCCUAAGGCGAGGCCGAAAGGCGUAGUCGAUGGGAAAAUGGUUAAUAUUCCAUUACUUCUGUGUAAUGCGAUGAGAGGACGGAGAAGGCUAAAUCAGCCUGGCGUUGGUUGUCCAGGUGAAAGGAUGUAGGCAUGUAUCUUAGGCAAAUCCGGGGUACUCUAUGCUGAGAUCUGAUAGCAAGCUGUACUUGUACAGCGAAGUGGUUGAUGCCAUGCUUCCAGGAAAAGUCUCUAAGCUUCAGUUACACAGGAAUCGUACCCGAAACCGACACAGGUGGUCAGGUCGAGUAGACCAAGGCGCUUGAGAGAACUCUGCUGAAGGAACUAGGCAAAAUGGUACCGUAACUUCGGGAGAAGGUACGCUGUUGUUGGUGAUGGAACUCGCUUCCUGAGCUGACGACAGCCGCAGAAACCAGGCCGCUGCAACUGUUUAUUAAAAACAUAGCACUCUGCAAACACGAAAGUGGACGUAUAGGGUGUGAUGCCUGCCCGGUGCUGGAAGGUUAAUUGAUGGGGUUAGCGUAAGCGAAGCUCUUGAUCGAAGCCCCAGUAAACGGCGGCCGUAACUAUAACGGUCCUAAGGUAGCGAAAUUCCUUGUCGGGUAAGUUCCGACCUGCACGAAUGGCAUAAUGAUGGCGGCGCUGUCUCCAGCAGAGGCUCAGUGAAAUCGAAAUCGCUGU